CGUGAGCGGCGGACGGGUGAGUAACGCGUGGGUAACCUGCCUCAUACAGGGGAGUAACAGUUAGAAAUGACUGCUAAUACCGCAUAAGACCACGGUACCGCAUGGUACAGUGGUAAAAACUCCGGUGGUAUGAGAUGGACCCGCGUCUGAUUAGGUAGUUGGUGGGGUAACGGCCUACCAAGCCGACGAUCAGUAGCCGACCUGAGAGGGUGACCGGCCACAUUGGGACUGAGACACGGCCCAG
RNAcentral lists this ribosomal RNA (244 nucleotides) under uncultured bacterium. Its description in RNAcentral is "partial 16S ribosomal RNA". It matches the Rfam family "Bacterial small subunit ribosomal RNA", at positions 90 to 334 of the family's 1533-position model. The record is from RNAcentral.